RNAcentral lists this ribosomal RNA (543 nucleotides) under Marinobacter nanhaiticus. RNAcentral describes it as "bacterial SSU rRNA". It matches the Rfam family "Bacterial small subunit ribosomal RNA", at positions 208 to 743 of the family's 1533-position model. Lineage: Bacteria; Pseudomonadati; Pseudomonadota; Gammaproteobacteria; Pseudomonadales; Marinobacteraceae. The record is from RNAcentral.
GGACCUUGCGCUAUUGGAUGUGCCUAUGUCGGAUUAGCUAGUUGGUGGGGUAAGAGCCUACCAAGGCGACGAUCCGUAGCUGGUCUGAGAGGAUGAUCAGCCACAUCGGGACUGAGACACGGCCCGAACUCCUACGGGAGGCAGCAGUGGGGAAUAUUGGACAAUGGGGGCAACCCUGAUCCAGCCAUGCCGCGUGUGUGAAGAAGGCUUUCGGGUUGUAAAGCACUUUCAGUGAGGAGGAAAAGUGGGUCCCUAAUACGGGCUAGCCUUGACGUUACUCACAGAAGAAGCACCGGCUAACUCCGUGCCAGCAGCCGCGGUAAUACGGAGGGUGCAAGCGUUAAUCGGAAUUACUGGGCGUAAAGCGCGCGUAGGUGGUUUGAUAAGCGAGAUGUGAAAGCCCCGGGCUUAACCUGGGAACGGCAUUUCGAACUGUCAGGCUAGAGUAUGGUAGAGGGUAGUGGAAUUUCCUGUGUAGCGGUGAAAUGCGUAGAUAUAGGAAGGAACACCAGUGGCGAAGGCGGCUACCUGGACCAAUACUGA